AGGCAGUGUAGUUAGCUGAUUGUGUCAGUCCCUUGGCAAUCACUAACUUCACUGCCAUC
RNAcentral lists this microRNA precursor (59 nucleotides) under Alligator mississippiensis (American alligator). Its description in RNAcentral is "Ami-Mir-34-P2a_pre stem-loop". The record is from RNAcentral. Lineage: Eukaryota; Metazoa; Chordata; Crocodylia; Alligatoridae.